RNAcentral lists this ribosomal RNA (301 nucleotides) under uncultured bacterium. Its description in RNAcentral is "partial 16S ribosomal RNA". It matches the Rfam family "Bacterial small subunit ribosomal RNA", at positions 509 to 807 of the family's 1533-position model. The record is from RNAcentral.
CAGCAGCCGCGGGAAUACGUAGGGUGCGAGCGUUAAUCGGAAUUACUGGGCGUAAAGCGUGCGCAGGCGGUUCGUUAAGACAGAUGUGAAAUCCCCGGGCUUAACCUGGGAACUGCAUUUGUGACUGGCGAGCUAGAGUAUGGCAGAGGGGGGUAGAAUUCCACGUGUAGCAGUGAAAUGCGCAGAGAUGUGGAGGAAUACCGAUGGCGAAGGCAGCCCCCUGGGCCAAUACUGACGCUCAUGCACGAAAGCGUGGGGAGCAAACAGGAUUAGAUACCCCCGUAGUCCCUGUCUCUUAUAC